CUUUCUCCGCCGGCGACCGGCGCACGGGUGAGUAACACGUAUGCAACCUGCCCCUGUCGAGGGGGACAACCCGCCGAAGGGCGGGCUAAACCCGCGUACAUGCCACCGGGGCAUCCCGGAGGCAGGAAAGGCUUCGGCCGGACAGGGAUGGGCAUGCGGCGCAUUAGGCAGUAGGCGGGGUAACGGCCCACCUAACCGACGAUGCGUAGGGGUUCUGAGAGGAAGGUCCCCCACACUGGUACUGAGACACGGACCAGACUCCUACGGAAGGCAGCAG
Molecule: ribosomal RNA, 277 nt
Filed under: uncultured bacterium
Lineage: Bacteria
Description: partial 16S ribosomal RNA
Rfam family: Bacterial small subunit ribosomal RNA
Source: RNAcentral